Molecule: non-coding RNA, 886 nt
Filed under: Bothrocara hollandi
Lineage: Eukaryota; Metazoa; Chordata; Actinopteri; Perciformes; Zoarcidae
Description: partial 12S ribosomal RNA
Rfam family: Bacterial small subunit ribosomal RNA
Source: RNAcentral
ACCCCUGUGAGAAUGCCCCACAGUUCCCCGCCCGGGGACAAGGAGCAGGUAUCAGGCACCCCUCUAGUUGAGCCCAUGACGCCUUGCUUAGCCACACCCUCAAGGGAACUCAGCAGUGAUAAACAUUAAGCCAUAAGUGAAAACUUGACUUAGUUAAAGCUAAGAGGGCCGGUAAAACUCGUGCCAGCCACCGCGGUUAUACGAGAGGCCCAAGUUGAAAGAGCCCGGCGUAAAGAGUGGUUAAGCUAGAAUUUAUACUAAAGCCGAACAUCCUCACGGCUGUUAUACGCAUCCGAAGAUAAGAAGCUCAGCCACGAAGGUAGCUUUAUUUGUCUGAACCCACGAAAGCUACGGCACAAACUGGGAUUAGAUACCCCACUAUGCCUAGCCCUAAACAUUGAUAGUACCCCACACCCACUAUCCGCCUGGGAACUACGAGCAGCAGCUUAAAACCCAAAGGACUUGGCGGUGCUUUAAACCCACCUAGAGGAGCCUGUUCUAGAACCGAUACCCCCCGUUCAACCUCACCCUUCCUUGUUUCACCCGCCUAUAUACCGCCGUCGUCAGCUUACCCUGUGAAGGCCUAAUAGUAAGCAAAACUGGCCAAGCCCAGAACGUCAGGUCGAGGUGUAGCGCAUGGGAGGGGAAGAAAUGGGCUACAUUCGCUGCAGCAGCGAAUACGGACGAUGCACUGAAACGUCCAUCUGAAGGAGGAUUUAGCAGUAAGCAGAAAGUAGCGUGUUCCGCUGAAAUUGGCCCUAAAGCGCGCACACACCGCCCGUCACUCUCCCCAAGCCCACCAACUUAAUUAACUAAACCCUAAUAAUCGCAAAGGGGAGGCAAGUCGUAACAUGGUAAGCGUACCGGAAGGUGCGCUUGGAAAAAU